Long non-coding RNA from Pteropus alecto (black flying fox), 197 nucleotides. RefSeq lists it as uncharacterized. The transcript has 3 exons. The record is from RefSeq and is a predicted model, not a curated record. Lineage: Eukaryota; Metazoa; Chordata; Mammalia; Chiroptera; Pteropodidae.
UGCCACAUUGGGGCAUCGGUAAAGGAAAUCUUUUUAGGACAGUGUUGAAGCCAUCUUUCGUCUCUUACUGCAAUCUCUGCUACAGAAAUCAUGGACCUUAAGUAUGCUUCCUGUGAAACUCAGAUGUCUCCGACUCUAAUGAGAAAAUAACAAAAGAAAAUGGGCAUAAGAUUAAAAAGCAGACCUUGACACUUUUU